This 468-nucleotide ribosomal RNA is filed under the name uncultured bacterium. RNAcentral's name for it is "partial 16S ribosomal RNA". It matches the Rfam family "Bacterial small subunit ribosomal RNA", at positions 28 to 507 of the family's 1533-position model. The record is from RNAcentral.
GACGAACGCUGGCGGCGUGCUUAACACAUGCCAGUCGAACGGAAAGGCCCUGCUUUUGUGGGGUGCUCGAGUGGCGAACGGGUGAGUAACACGUGAGUAACCUGCCCUUGACUUUGGGAUAACUUCAGGAAACUGGGGCUAAUACCGGAUAGGAGCUCCUGCUGCAUGGUGGGGGUUGGAAAGUUUCGGCGGUUGGGGAUGGACUCGCGGCUUAUCAGCUUGUUGGUGGGGUAGUGGCUUACCAAGGCUUUGACGGGUAGCCGGCCGGAGGGGGUGACCGGCCACAUUGGGACUGAGAUACGGCCCAGACUCCUACGGGAGGCAGCAGUGGGGAAUAUUGCACAAUGGGCGGAAGCCGGAGGCAGCAACGCCGCGUGCGGGAUGACGGCCUUCGGGCUGUAAACCGCUUUCGCCGGUGACGAAGCGUGAGUGACGGUAAUGGGUAAAGAAGCACCGGCUAACUACGUG